Molecule: non-coding RNA, 60 nt
Filed under: Tieghemostelium lacteum
Lineage: Eukaryota; Evosea; Eumycetozoa; Dictyosteliales; Raperosteliaceae
Description: Dictyostelium lacteum Class I RNA from Dictyostelium
Rfam family: Class I RNA from Dictyostelium
Source: Rfam by way of RNAcentral
GAACUCCUUACAUCAAUCUUAAACUUUUUUCUCCAAAAAAAAAUCAAAUCUUGAGUUCUG